RNAcentral lists this ribosomal RNA (644 nucleotides) under uncultured Erysipelotrichaceae bacterium. RNAcentral's name for it is "bacterial SSU rRNA". It matches the Rfam family "Bacterial small subunit ribosomal RNA", at positions 28 to 666 of the family's 1533-position model. Lineage: Bacteria; Bacillati; Bacillota; Erysipelotrichia; Erysipelotrichales; Erysipelotrichaceae. The record is from RNAcentral.
GAUGAACGCUGGCGGCAUGCCUAAUACAUGCAAGUCGAACGGGAUAUCAUCGGAUAUCCAGUGGCGAACGGGUGAGUAACACGUAGGUAACCUGCCCAUGUGCCCGGGAUAACGCCUGGAAACGGGUGCUAAAACCGGAUAGGUAUCGCUUCUGCAUGGAAGAGAUAUUAAAGGAGCUGCAAGGCUCUGAACAUGGAUGGACCUGCGGUGCAUUAGCUGGUUGGUGAGGUAACGGCCCACCAAGGCGACGAUGCAUAGCCGGCCUGAGAGGGUGAACGGCCACAUUGGGACUGAGACACGGCCCAAACUCCUACGGGAGGCAGCAGUAGGGAAUUUUCGUCAAUGGGGGCAACCCUGAACGAGCAAUGCCGCGUGAGUGAGGAAGGUCUUCGGAUCGUAAAGCUCUGUUGCAGGAGAAAAACGGCAGAUAUAGGAAAUGAUAUCUGAGUGAUGGUAACCUGCCAGAAAGUCACGGCUAACUACGUGCCAGCAGCCGCGGUAAUACGUAGGUGGCGAGCGUUAUCCGGAAUGAUUGGGCGUAAAGGGUGCGUAGGUGGCCUUAUAAGUCUGGAGUGAAAGGCGGCAGCUCAACUGCCGUAUGCUCUGGAAACUGUGAGGCUGGAGUGCAGGAGAGGGCGAUGGAA